This 229-nucleotide ribosomal RNA is filed under the name uncultured bacterium. RNAcentral describes it as "partial 16S ribosomal RNA". It matches the Rfam family "Bacterial small subunit ribosomal RNA", at positions 568 to 796 of the family's 1533-position model. The record is from RNAcentral.
UCCGUAGGCGGGUAAUUAAGUCAGAGGUGAAAUCCCACAGCUUAACUGUGGAACUGCCUUAGAUACUGGUUAUCUUGAGUUUUAGUGAAGUAGAUAGAAUGUGUAGUGUAGCGGUGAAAUGCAUAGAUAUUACACAGAAUACCGAUUGCGAAGGCAGUCUACUAACUAACAACUGACGCCAAUGGACGAAAGCGUGGGGAGCGAACAGGAUUAGAUACCCUGGUAGUCC